Molecule: ribosomal RNA, 441 nt
Filed under: uncultured bacterium
Lineage: Bacteria
Description: partial 16S ribosomal RNA
Rfam family: Bacterial small subunit ribosomal RNA
Source: RNAcentral
CCUACGGGAGGCAGCAGUGGGGGAUAUUGCACAAUGGGGGAAACCCUGAUGCAGCGACGCCGCGUGGGUGAAGAAGUAUUUCGGUAUGUAAAGCCCUAUCAGCAGGGGAGAAAGAAGACGGUACCUGACUAAGAAGCACCGACUAACUACGUGCCAGCAGCCGCGGUAAUACGUAGGGGCCGAGCGUUAUCCGGAUUCACUGGGUUUAAAGGGAGCGUAGACGGCCGUGCAAGCCAGGAGUGAAAGCGCGGGGCCCAACCCCGGGACUGCUCUUGGAACUGGGCGGCUGGAGUGCGGGAGGGGCAGGCGGAAUUCCUGGUGUAGCGGUGAAAUGCGUAGAUAUCAGGAGGAACACCGGCGGCGAAGGCGGCCUGCUGGACCGCGACUGACGUUGAGGCUCGAAAGCGUGGGGAGCGAACAGGAUUAGAUACCCCUGUAGUC